CUCGGAUACUGUGAAUGGUUACUGUUUCUCACUAAAAUUUCUUUAACUUGAUGAAAUUUUCCAGCAUUUAAAUGCAUAAAAAUAGGUAAAAUGUGUACUCAUAAACAUUUCUCUCAAUUAAAUUCACUAUAGUAAAGCAUUCUAGUUGAUGAAAUGCAAUCGUGACUCACAUCAAAUGUGUUACACUAUAUGUGAAUAGCACACCCUAUGAGAUUGCUGAGAGUUAUAAAUGUGUGUUUCGCUCAUACAACUGUAGAUAUAGCACCGAGCAAAUGCGCUACUUGUGCGUUAUUCACAGCUGAAAUGCGUUGUUUUAUUAAUCGUAUGUGCACACGUCGUCGUAGCGUUAAAAGUUACACGUUUCACUUGACGAAAUGCAUUAAAUUAACCCCGCUGAGUGCUAACCGGAAUGCAUUAUUCCAAUUUAAAAUUAAAACAAAAAAAAAAAAUUUGUUUUUCCUACUCGAUAUUUUAAAAGUUUUAAAAGAAAUGCGCCAUUGAUAUAAACAGCUCUUCCAUCUUUCUUUUCCUCUUCUGUUAUUGCAGAUCAUUCGGAGUAAAGAGGGAUCAUUUUGUAUUUUCGAAGACAUUUUUGACCAUUGCUCAUAAAUGACAGAACGUUUCCUCUUCGCCUCAUCAAACAUACGCGAAAAAUAAAAAAAAAUAAAAAGAAAAGACUUUUGCUUCUGUUCUAUCUAUUCAAAAAUGUUAAAAAGAAAAAAAAAAAGAUUCGAAAACUUAACUUUAAAAGUAUCGAUGAAAGAGGAAAAAUAUAAAAUUUCCUGAAUACUUCUUUAAAACUAGUAAUAAUUAUCUAAGCAUUAUCGCGAUCAAGUGCAGAAGAGAAUAUCAAGUAAAAAUAUUUGAAAAAAAGGGCCUCUCAUGUUUCUUGGGGUUCGUGUCGUGCCAGCUGUGACUGAUAUCGACAGGAGAGAGGAGAGUUUGUCUUUUGUGAAAGAAGAGGGGAAAAAAAAAGAGCGCUUAUAUCAUUGAUAUUCUAUAUUUUUAUUUAUCUAUCGUAAAAGUGAUAAACAAACUACAAUAUCUCCCUUUAACUCUCGGCAUGAAAAUCUAUUUCGUGGAGAAAGGAUCAUCUGAGAAAAGUAUGCAAAAUGCGUAAGAAAUAUAUGCGUUUUAAAUAGUUUUACAGUCAAGAAAGUAUCGUUUUCCGUUUUAUACUGCACACAUCAAUACAACUAUUUCAAAAAAAUUCUGCAUUUUUUUUUUUUUUUUUGUUGUUGUUGUUGAAAUUUUAAGAGGAAAAUAUAUUAGAAUUUUAAUAUUCAC
RNAcentral lists this long non-coding RNA (1287 nucleotides) under Androctonus crassicauda. Lineage: Eukaryota; Metazoa; Arthropoda; Arachnida; Scorpiones; Buthidae. The record is from RNAcentral.